Molecule: long non-coding RNA, 1253 nt
Filed under: Monodelphis domestica (gray short-tailed opossum)
Lineage: Eukaryota; Metazoa; Chordata; Mammalia; Didelphimorphia; Didelphidae
Description: lncRNA (ENSMODG00000043894.1)
Source: RNAcentral
UUCCAUGGUUACAUGAUUUAUAUUCUUUCCCUCCCUCCUCCAAUAGCCAAGGAGCAAUUCCACUGGGUUUUACAUGUGUCAUUGAUCAAGAUAAGGAACUGAUUUUUAAAACUUCAUAUUUCCUCAUUUGCUCUAUACUCUUUUGAGGGGAAUUCCACAGGAGAGAGAAGAGAUACUUGGAAGGACAAGAAAAACUUUCCACCUAAACUGGGGACCCAGUUCAUGGAGUCCCAAGGGAUUUGAGCCAUUCCAACAACUUGACCCCUUCAAGACAGGAAGACAGGCAGUGAUGAUACUAGCUACAACACCAGCUCAAGACCAGCAGUCAACUGUGGAGCUGCCUUCUGCCCCAAUCCGACCAUUGACCUAUAGAUGAAAAAAGAGAAGUCUCUCUCUUCCUUUUAGGGUCAAGCUCAGAAGAAAUAUUCCUUUCUUUCACCACCUAGAGUUUUUUCUUUUUGUUUGUUUCCCAUCCCACUGCUACUGUCUUUGUAUACUGGGUAAAUAUUCAAAAGUCAGUAGGAAAGUUAAUUAAUUUGGACUCAAAUUUGUUUUGCCAGUGGCAUGCAGCUUUCUCCUGUAUGCACCUCUCAUACUUCAGCUGCUACAGAUUUUAGACACACUCGAGACUCCUUCACAAUAGCUUCCCUACUUUUUCAGCAUUGAUCCGGAGACUCACAUGAAAAAGGGAGGAGAUGGGUGGCAUCAGGCCUUAUUUAGGGUGGGUUAGUGGAAGGAUGAGCAGAUAGGCAGGCUCUCCUCAGUGACAGACUAUAACCUCUCAUUAAGUCAGGUAGAAUGAGAAAAAAAAAAGUUGGAACUGCUGUAGUUGUGUGACCGCAAGAUAUGAAGUGAGCAGAACCAGGAGAACAUUGUACACAGGAACAACAACAAUGUAUGAUGAUCAGCCAAGAAUGAUAACAUGAUGAAAAAAUAUAUUUACUGCCAUAGAAGGAACAGAGAGAGCCCUAACACAGAUUGAAGAAUACCAUUCUUCCUUUUGUUUCCUCCAUGAAUGUUUCUCCAGUGUAAACAAUAUGGGUCUUUUUUCACAUGAACAUGGAAAUAUGUAUUAUAUUAAAAUAUAUGUUCAACCUACAUCAUAUUAUUUGCCUUCUUGGAGAGGGGGGAAGGAUGGGAGGGAAAGAACAUGAAUUGUAAAAUGUCAGAAAAUAAGUAUUAAAAAUUGUAUCGAUUGUAAUCUGGAAAGUAAAAAUUUUAAAUAAAAAAAGAUAUAAUUUUCUCUUCCUGGG